This is a long non-coding RNA of Haliotis rubra (blacklip abalone), 322 nucleotides long. RefSeq lists it as uncharacterized. NCBI's taxonomy places the organism in Eukaryota, Metazoa, Mollusca, Gastropoda, Lepetellida, Haliotidae. The transcript is spliced from 2 exons. The record is from RefSeq and is a predicted model, not a curated record.
AUGGGAACAUGGGCAGAUACUGAUGUUCAUAAGGACAGUGCUGACCGACAUGGGCAUGGUAUGGAUCCAGUGAUUGAGUAUUGAUCUAUGCAUCUGUGAUAUCUAAAAGUCAGGCCUGAUACUGACAAUCGUGAGCCUGGCACGAACCAACAUGAGCAUGGUAGCUAUGAACAUGGACAGAUACUGACGUUCUUAAGGAGAGUGCUGACCGAUACAGACAUGGCAUGGAUCCAGCGAUUGAGUAUUGAUCUAGAUACAAUUUUGAUACGAUAACAUGUCAGUCAAGUCACAACUUCUGAUGCAAAUCAAUCUUCCAUAAAAA